CUUGUCUAAGGUCAACAAGUCCGUUAGGGUUGGAACUAACUGACGACAGACGAAGCCGUCCUAACCCCUGAAAUCUACAAGUAGUCCAGGAAGAGGGGGAGAAGAUCCCUUUAGGUGUGAAGGAAGAAUGGACUGGAAAGUAGAGACCCUGAGAUCCAGGACGGAAGGAGGGAAGAGGCUCGCUUGACUGUCAUAAGCUUCAUUUUGCUGAAACAGACCCCAGAAAGGGCAGUGAUGAGAGAUGAGGCCACAAUACAGAUAUCCAAUUAUUUCAGCAUCACUUGCUAAAAAUACUUUCCUUUCGUCUUUGGAUUCCACUGGCAACUUUAUUGAAAAAUCAGAUAACUAUAUGGAGUCUUUCUCUGUCACCCAGGCUGGAGUAUUGUGGAAUCUGGUCAGCAGCCCACAGUGCAACGUGGCUCUCUCUUUGCUCUCAGG
This 438-nucleotide long non-coding RNA is filed under the name Homo sapiens (human). RNAcentral's name for it is "non-protein coding lnc-DAW1-2:2". Lineage: Eukaryota; Metazoa; Chordata; Mammalia; Primates; Hominidae. The record is from RNAcentral.